UACAGAGGGGGCGAGCGUUGUUCGGAAUUACUGGGCGUAAAGGGCGCGUAGGCGGCCUCUUAAGUCGAACGUGAAAUCCCCGGGCUCAACCCCGGGAACUGCGUCCGAUACUGGGGGGCUUGAAUCCGGGAGAGGGAUGUGGAAUUCCAGGUGUAGCGGUGAAAUGCGUAGAUAUCUGGAGGAACACCGGUGGCGAAGGCGGCAUCCUGGACCGGUAUUGACGCUGAGGCGCGAAAGCUAGGGGAGCAAACGGG
Molecule: ribosomal RNA, 254 nt
Filed under: uncultured bacterium
Lineage: Bacteria
Description: partial 16S ribosomal RNA
Rfam family: Bacterial small subunit ribosomal RNA
Source: RNAcentral